This 533-nucleotide long non-coding RNA is filed under the name Phoenix dactylifera (date palm). RNAcentral describes it as "long non-coding RNA (PDAC_LNC003340)". The record is from RNAcentral. Lineage: Eukaryota; Viridiplantae; Streptophyta; Magnoliopsida; Arecales; Arecaceae.
ACAUUAGUUUGACCUAACUUUCUCGGAGUGCCACGAAGCUAUAUAUAUAUAGAUAUGCCAUUGAGUUACAUUAGUUUGAUCUAACUUUUCUCGGAGUGCCACGAAGCUGGCCCUUUAUUUUUCCUCAAAAGGAUAUACGAUCAUAGUUUGAUGCAAUCUUUUCCUUUGGAAAAGCAGGCCAGCUUAACGGGCAGUAUAUGGUUCUUUCUGCUUGGUUGCAGCAAUAGGACGUAAGGCUGCCUUCUUUUUUGUUUGGUUACAAGUCAGGCCACUUUCAUUAUAGGCACGUAGCACGCUUCAUGGCCACCCGUUUCACUUCUCUCAUCCUAUAUAUCUCCGUCGCCAUCCACAGAAGCUUAGGAACAGUCAAAUGUUUAUCAUAUGUACCAUAAAGGAAUUUAUGAUCAUUUAAAGAGAGUUUCUAUAGGAGUUAAAACAUCAUACGAAUUUAACAUAAGCAACAUGUUGGCCCCUCCUAAGUUGUGACCACCUCAUUAUCUAAAAUCUGAGAGCAUCGUGCAUGCACAUAUUUU